UGGGCAAGUCUGGUGCCAGCAGCCGCGGUAAUUCCAGCUCUCAUAAUAUAUAGAAUUAUUGUUGCGGUUAAAAAGUUCGUAGUUGAAUUUCAUACCGUUUGCGGGUCGUGUUUAACGACGCGUACUCGCGACGGUGUUUCCACAAAGGUGGCUUGCUGCCUUUAUGGGGAUUACUUUGAACGGCUUAAGUGCUCAAGGCGAGUCUUCGGACUGAAUACCGGUGCAUGGAAUAAUGGAACAAGGUUUCGGCUGAGUUUUAUUGGUUUUGUCGGCUGAGACAAUGGUUAACAGGAACAGCUGGGGGCACUCGUAUCCCGGCGCGAGAGGUGAAAUUCGUGGACCGUCGGGAGACGCCCAAAAGCGAAGGCAUUUGCCAAGAGUGUUUUCAUUAAUCAAGAACGAAAGUCAGAGGUUCGAAGGCGAUUAGAUACCGCCCUAGUUCUGACCGUAAACGAUGCCAACUAUCAAUCCGCCAGUAGCUUCCAGUUAUUGGCGGGCGGAUCGACGGAAACGAAAGUUUUUCGGUUCCGGGGGAAGUAUGGUUGCAAAGCUGAAACUUAAAGGAAUUGACGGAAGGGCACCACCAGGAGUGGAGCUUGCGGCUUAAUUUGACUCAACACGGGAAACCUCACCCGGCCAGUACAUCAUAAGGAUUGACAGAUUGAAAGCUCUUUCAUGAUUUGAUGAAUGGUGGUGCAUGGCCGUUCUUAGUUCGUGGUGUGAAUCGUCUGCUUAAUUGCGAUAACGAGCGAGACUUUAACUGUUAAAUAGCACUUGGAUCUUUUUGUCCUUGANGCUUCUUAACUGNAUUCNCGGCUUCAAGUCGCAAGAAAUGAAGCAAUAACAGGUCUGUGAUGCCCUUANAUGUCCAGGGGCCGC
Molecule: ribosomal RNA, 879 nt
Filed under: Nematoda environmental sample
Lineage: Eukaryota; Metazoa; Nematoda
Description: SSU rRNA
Rfam family: Eukaryotic small subunit ribosomal RNA
Source: RNAcentral